RNAcentral lists this ribosomal RNA (430 nucleotides) under uncultured bacterium. Its description in RNAcentral is "bacterial SSU rRNA". It matches the Rfam family "Bacterial small subunit ribosomal RNA", at positions 355 to 776 of the family's 1533-position model. The record is from RNAcentral.
UGGGGAAUAUUGGACAAUGGGGGAAACCCUGAUCCAGCUAUGCCGCGUGAGUGAUGAAGGCCUUCGGGUCGUAAAGCUCUGUGGGGAGGGAAGAACAAGGCUGUGGCUAACAUCCACGGUCUCUGACGGUACCUCCUUAGCAAGCACCGGCUAACUCCGUGCCAGCAGCCGCGGUAAUACGGAGGGUGCAAACGUUGCUCGGAAUCAUUGGGCGUAAAGCGCACGUAGGUGGCUCGUUAAGUCGGAUGUGAAAGCCCAAGGCUCAACCUUGGAAGUGCAUACGAAACUGGCGAGCUUGAAUAUGGACGAGGGUCGCGGAAUUCCCGGUGUAGAGGUGAAAUUCGUAGAUAUCGGGAGGAACACCAGUGGCGAAGGCGGCGACCUGGGCCAAUAUUGACGCUAAGGUGCGAAAGCGUGGGGAGCAAACAGG